RNAcentral lists this unclassified non-coding RNA (496 nucleotides) under Hevea brasiliensis (rubber tree). The record is from RNAcentral. Lineage: Eukaryota; Viridiplantae; Streptophyta; Magnoliopsida; Malpighiales; Euphorbiaceae.
CCGCUUGGUCCUUGGAGACCACAUAAGAAAAAUCCGAUCUAUAACACAGAUAAGAGCAUGGGAGCCCGAAAUGGAGGCAGACCAUUUUCAUUUGAUGGUCAUCUUUAUCGUGUUGGCCAAGACGAUGGUGAAACAUACGGGCGGAGGGUGCGUCUCUUCAAAAUAGAAGUUUUGACUACUGAUAAGUUCGAAGAAGUUGAAGUCCCAACGAGCCUUAAAGAGUCAAUUAAGGGAAGAAAUGCCUGGAACGGUGCCCGCAGCCAUCAUCUUGAUGUGCAACAAUUAAGUUCCGGAGAGUGGGUUGGAGUUAUGGAUGGUGAUCGAGUGCCUUCAGGUGAUGCAAGUAGACGGUUUCAUUUAGGUUGUGCGUCAGUCUUAGGUGUUGCAGCCCUGGUUAUACUGUUCGGUGUGUCCCUUGGAGCUGUUAAAGGUUUAUUUCCCCUUAGUUGGUGCCCGCAUAAUGUUGGCAAGAGGAGUGAUGCUUCAUUGGAUUGGG